CCUACGGGUGGCUGCAGUGGGGAAUAUUGCACAAUGGGGGAAACCCUGAUGCAGCGACGCCGCGUGAGCGAAGAAGUAUUUCGGUAUGGUAAGCUCUAUCAGCAGGGAAGAAAAUGACGGUACCUGAGUAAGAAGCCCCGGCUAAAUCCGUGCCAGCAGCCGCGGUAAUACGUAUGGAGCAAGCGUUAUCCGGAUUUACUGGGCGUAAAGGGAGCGUAGGCGGCCUGCCAAGUCUGAUGUGAAAUACCGGGGCUCAACCCGGGGGUUGCAGUGGAAACUGGCAGGCUGGAGUGCCGGAGAGGCAGGCGGAAUUCCUAGUGUAGCGGUGAAAUGCGUAGAUAUGAGGAGGAACACCAGUGGCGAAGGCGGCUUGCUGGAGGGUGACUGACGCUGAGGCUCGAAAGCGUGGGGAGCGAACAGGAUUAGAUACCCUAGUAGUC
RNAcentral lists this ribosomal RNA (440 nucleotides) under uncultured bacterium. RNAcentral describes it as "partial 16S ribosomal RNA". It matches the Rfam family "Bacterial small subunit ribosomal RNA", at positions 338 to 795 of the family's 1533-position model. The record is from RNAcentral.